Molecule: long non-coding RNA, 1859 nt
Organism: Papaver somniferum (opium poppy)
Lineage: Eukaryota; Viridiplantae; Streptophyta; Magnoliopsida; Ranunculales; Papaveraceae
Exons: 5
Source: RefSeq, a predicted model, not a curated record
UUUGUUUCAAAUUCACUCCAUUUCUCUCGAAAUAUCCGCCCCUGAUAAUGAUAACGAUGAUGAAUGGAGAUAGCUUAAACCAUGAUGCUUUGAGCAGAGAUGCAAGACUGAGUUCAACAAAUUUCUUACUAGCGCUAAAAGAAACCUCAAAAUCUGCACUGACAGAGUCUCAAACUAUAAGAUGACGGAGAGUUUGUUCAAUAGAAGAGCUAUUUGCAGAGGAUGUGGAUUGAAACCAAAUACUCAAUUCUUGCUGUUCUUUUGUUACCUAAUGCAUAGCCGGAAGGACGAUUAGAAACACAAGCGAAGAUAUGCUUAAGUAUAUCAAGUCGUCAUCCUGAGCACUGACAAAUACUUCUGUAGUUCACAAAAAAGUCCAAUGUUUGUCGAAUUCCGGUGUUGAUCACGUUAAGUCAGAUUUCCCUGAGGUCCUUCGUUUCAUUAAUUUGUUGCGGACAUUUCGCUUACUAUUUUCUAAACAAUCAGACAUCCCAAUAUUUGAUGCUCAAUUUGAUUGUUGCUAGAAGGUUGAAUAUUCAUACAGAGCUUCAAUCAAUGAUAUCCAUCAUCAUAAGCUGAUGUGGAGGCUUUCAGUUAGGCUCACUGGUGUUCUCUUUUUGUAAGCAGCUUUUGUUCCACAAUUUAGUAUGCAGGUCAUGUUUGAAUACGGCUGGAUAACUCUUGGGUAAUUCCACAAACCAGAGACUUGGUUGAACGAUAUGAUGCCACAUCAACCUUGACUCACAUAUAGUUUUGUUGUUUUUGAGCAGACGCAUUCUAAAUCACCUACUGGAAGUUGCAUGUCACGAGUCAUUUCAAACUCGCGAUUUAUUGUAUUUUUUGUUUUGGGUUAGAAUUUUUAUGUCUGGGCUUCAUGGAGAGUUUCCUGAGAAGUUUAGAAAUUUGAAAUUUUUAUGUGCUGCAUAUUCAUAGCAUUCAUACAGAUGAGCUAUAAGAACACAGUGUAGAGUUCAUGCCUUUCUCAUUAUCCUUCUUCGUCACAUUGAGUGCACUUUUAUGGUUUCCUUAUGAUCUUCCACUUACAGACUUAUAUCUCUGUAAGAAAUUCACGCACGGUAUUUCUUUUUGAAUUGGAAAUCGUAUUCUCUAAUAUGUUCUGUGUAUGUGUAUGUAUUAGGUACAAAAUGUAGCAUGAUCGUUUUUGACACGUACCAUAUUCUAUUGCCAUUUUGUUAUGUGGACAAUUUCGUUCUAUCUAGCACUUCGGCUUGGAUUCAUUGUUUCACCUUAGGUUCAAAUUUUUGUGGUUGUAGGUUUAGGUUUUGAAGAUUUUUUGUCCCAUUACUGGAGCAGUCGCAUUUGCUAACGAGAUAAUUGGAUGCCUGCUGUUCAUCAGGAUAUAUAAAACCUCUCAGCGUAGGAGUGCUGCUUAUGCAGUUGCUAAACUAAACUUUACAGGAUUGGAGAUCGAACUGGAUAGUUGGUUAAUGGCUGAGCCACUGAGAUAAGAGAAGGUGGACAUACGAAAGCAACUGAUUAUAGAUUCUGCACACAAAGUUCAGCCGACCUCAACGUUAAGGAUUAGAGAUAUUUGGAUACACAAAUAUGUAAAUUGAACUUCUGAGAUUCGUUAAAGAUGAUUAUAUCUCAUGAUAAUGCCACAAAGAGAUGUUACCCAGUACGAAUAUCUCAUGUAGAUGUUGCAGUCGCAAAGAGAUGUAACCCAGUGCGAACAGGUUAUCAACAAUUGAACCAAAGUUCCCUCUAUGCGUACCGGAAAACCAAGCUAACAACGACCCCCACUUUAUCAAAUUCCGUGUAAUAAUCUGGCCAUCCAUUUUCAUGUUGUCUUCUUUGUUGUCAACCAAUCUUGUUUUUUUACAUAUACAGUGAUCUUU